UUGACCUCAAAUCAGGCGGGACUACCCGCUGAACUUAAGCAUAUCAAUAAGCGGAGGAAAAGAAACUAACAAGGAUUCCCCUAGUAACUGCGAGUGAAGCGGGAUGAGCUCAAAUUUAAAAUCUGGCGUCUUCGGCGUCCGAGUUGUAAUUUAGAGAAGCGUUUUCCGCGCCGGACCGUGUACAAGUCUCCUGGAACGGAGCGUCAUAGAGGGUGAGAAUCCCGUCUUUGACACGGACCCCCGGUGCUCUGUGAUACGCUCUCGAAGAGUCGAGUUGUUUGGGAAUGCAGCUCAAAAUGGGUGGUGAACUCCAUCUAAAGCUAAAUAUUGGCGAGAGACCGAUAGCGAACAAGUACCGUGAGGGAAAGAUGAAAAGCACUUUGGAAAGAGAGUGAAACAGUACGUGAAAUUGUUGAAAGGGAAACGCUUGAAGUCAGUCGCGUCCGCCAGGAUUCAGCCUCACGGUGUACUUUCUGGUGGACGGGCCAGCAUCACUUUCAAUCAUCGGAAAAGGUCGAGGGGAAUGUGGCACCUUCGGGUGUGUUAUAGCCCCUUGUCGUAUACGGUGACUGGGAGUGAGGACCGCCUUUUGUAGGAUGCUGGCGUAAUGGCUUUAAACGACCCGUCUUGAAACACGGACCAAGGAGUCUAACAUGCCCGCGAGUGUUCGGGUGGAAAACCCGUGCGCGUAAUGAAAGUGAAAGUUGGGAAGGCUGUCGCGGCCUGCACCGACGCCCGGACUUGA
Molecule: ribosomal RNA, 745 nt
Filed under: Peniophora tamaricicola
Lineage: Eukaryota; Fungi; Basidiomycota; Agaricomycetes; Russulales; Peniophoraceae
Description: LSU rRNA
Rfam family: Eukaryotic large subunit ribosomal RNA
Source: RNAcentral